GACGCCUCUCCCUCAGAACAAGAGUGCACGGGGCAGGGUCGUCUUCUUUAUUCUCUCUCACUAUGCUACCUCAGAACUUAGCAGAAUGUCUGACCUGAAUAAUUACAGAAUGGACGAUUAGUAAAUACUGACAAAAAAUUGGGGAGCAGCCGAGCACCGUCUUUGGAGCAUGGGGCAUUUGAGGCGUGGAACCAGCUCAGAAAGGAUCCCCAGAGAGGUGGCUCGGGCUGCCUCCAGCGGGCCCACAACAAUAAUUCCAGGGCCAGAGAGCUCGAAGGUGGAAUAAGGAACUCUGAGGGAAUUCUGAGCAAAAACUGCACCUUUGAAUUGAAAGAAUACCCUCACGUAUUUUAAAUCCGACUUAACCAGGAAAGCGGGGAAAGGAGACAGCUUCAUACCUUGCCAAAACAUGCUGAAGCAACUGGGGAGUCAGUGACACCAGGCCACCGAGAUCUGGGAAGCUGAUGGAAAGUAUGCUCUAUGUCAAGGCCAGCAGGAAACCCUGGGAGGACUAUCCCUUGGAGAAACCCUGGGAGAAGAUGGGGCAAGAGUCUGAAGUGCAUUUAAAGUCUCAUCUUGUUCAGUAUAUGGAGAUCACAGAGCUGAUUUUUAAAUUUUCUCCAGUAAAAGCUUUAUUGAGAUGUAAUUCAGAUUUAAUUCUGCUAUAAAACCAAAUUAAAUUCAUGAAAAAUAGUAUUUCUAAGUAAAAUAAUGACAAACUCUUUUAA
Heterocephalus glaber (naked mole-rat) is the source of this 728-nucleotide long non-coding RNA. RefSeq lists it as uncharacterized. The record is from RefSeq and is a predicted model, not a curated record. Lineage: Eukaryota; Metazoa; Chordata; Mammalia; Rodentia; Bathyergidae.